CUUUUCACCAGUCAGGUCCAUCUUUGCUUUGGUGGAGCCUCGUAAACAACUGUCAGCUGCAUUGUUUCCUUUGUUGUUGAGGAGAGUGGGAGGCAGUGCAGCCCAGGGAGCAAGUGGCCGGCCCUGCUCAGGGCUUUCCCCGCUCAGGCGUUUCCAGGGCGGGAAGGAGGCCGGGCAGCGCGGGGUCUCAGACGGCCUCUCUGCCUUCAGCUGGGAGCGGUUUCGGCAGCAGCUCAGCCGGAGGAGAAGUGGGCGCUGAGGUUUUGAUGCCAACCUGGGCCUCUUCCCUGGGGGAGGAAGGCGACAGCCAUCACUAGCAAGGGGGGCCGGGUCGCGGGGUCUCGAGAGGCUGGCGAGGGCGGGCGGGCAGGCGGCCCCCGGGGCACGGCUGACCUUCCUCCCGGGAGGAGGGCGGGGGCUCGCCAGCAGCUGGAACUGUGGGGGUGGAUUCGUGCAGGCGGGUCCCUAGGUCCAGGGGCUGAGGGCCAGGGUCCCUCGCAGCCACGGGAGAACAUCUCGCAGUCUCGGCAUCGAGACGCCCCCAAGUCCUGGACGGCCCCACCUGACGUCAAAUCAAAGGGGGGGCACAAGUCAGCACCUCCAACAGGUGCUGCGGGGAAGGAAACGUGUCCUUUUGCACAGAUGGUGUUCUGGCAUGUUCUGUCUGUUCUCCUGUGCAGGCUAACGUCAGCAGGACUGUAUUUUAGAGCUGGGUUUUCUGAGCCCGUAGCACCUUACUGGAGAAGGUUCCCUCCUGAACCCAGGGAUGCCUUGGGCGGACUGUAGUCCACACAGCUCGGGACCCUUUCUGCUCGUUUCCGCCGGCCGCGGGAAUUCGCCGUCUAUUCGCAUGGUGAGAAGCUUCAAGUCUAACAGGAAAAAUGGGUGAAAACCAAAUGCUUCCUUUUCUGUUCUAUGUGUUUAUAUUUUGUUCCUCUAUUAAACAGAAAUAUUCUGUUAGUGACACUAAGCGUAUUCGAGGAGUAUACCAUACGCAUUCUUUUAUAGGGUAGGAAGUUUUUAUUAUCCCCUUAACCGUGAAGUUAAACUAUAUCGAUACAAAGAAAACCAGGCCUUCUAUUAAUGCAUGCCUUUUUUUUUUUUGUCAUGGAUACUCUUAAAUUUAUUCCUGGGUAUUUUAAUGUUUUGAAUUAUCAUUAGGAAUGUGUUUUCAAUCUUAGUCAAAUUGGUGUGGUUUGUAAAUACAAAUGCUACUAAUCUAAACAUCUAUUUAAAAUGUGUAAAUGACUGCUUCUGGCUUUCUCUUUUUAUUUAUUCUCUUGGAUUUUUCAGGCAGGCAAUCACAUUAACAGAUUUGACACAAUGGUUUGAACGCCAUUUAAAGCUAAAUUUAGAUAUCCCCAAGAAUGGAAAGUGCAUGACAGAUAUUUUUUCAAACCACAAAUAGAUUUAAUUAAACUGUUUAUUUUUUUGAAAUGAGUCCAAUGAAAUAUUUACCUUACAAUAUGUCCCAUCAUAAUUUGUUAAAUGCCAU
This 1495-nucleotide long non-coding RNA is filed under the name Sus scrofa (pig). RNAcentral's name for it is "lncRNA (ENSSSCG00055004974.1)". The record is from RNAcentral. Lineage: Eukaryota; Metazoa; Chordata; Mammalia; Artiodactyla; Suidae.